UACGGAGGGUGCAAGCGUUGUUCGGAAUUACUGGGCGUAAAGAGCGCGUAGGCGGCUAUUUAUGUCAGGUGUGAAAGUCCUCGGCUUAACCGAGGAAGUGCGCCUGAAACUGAGUAGCUUGAGUACGAGAGAGGAGAACGGAAUUCCUAGUGUAGAGGUGGAAUUCGUAGAUAUUAGGAAGAACACCGGUGGCGAAAGCG
This 200-nucleotide ribosomal RNA is filed under the name uncultured bacterium. RNAcentral's name for it is "partial 16S ribosomal RNA". It matches the Rfam family "Bacterial small subunit ribosomal RNA", at positions 524 to 723 of the family's 1533-position model. The record is from RNAcentral.